UAAACCUGUAGGAACAGCUUUUAUGGGGACACUAAAGAGAAGUUUUACAUAAGAAGGGGAUCCUUAGGUAUUAUAUAAUAAUAAUAUAACCUACUUAAUAAUAUGAAGCUUUGUAUUCUUUAAAUCUAUAUCCAUGACCUCAUUUCAGCCUCCAAAACAGCCAUGUGGGGGAAGUAUUUUGUUGUUUAGUCAUUUUUCAGUCAUGUCCAACUCUUUGUGACCUUUUUGGGGUUUUCUUGGCAAUGAUACUGAAGUGGUUUGCUAUUUCUUUCUCUAGCUCAUUUUACAUAUGAGGAAACUGAGGCAAACAGGAUUACAGUGACUUGCUCCAGGUCCCCCAGCUAGCAAGCGUAAGAAGCCAGAUUUGAACUUCCUGACUCCAGCCCUAGCACUGAUUGCCAUAAGGAACCCUGGAGUAAGCUGUCUCCGAGACUGGCCCUGGGACAACACCACACUCCAGUCCCCAGUCUUUCCCCCUCCACUUCACCAACUCUGCAACUGGAAAAGAUUAGCAUCUAAGGAGGUAUGUAGUGGAGGACAAGAGACAGGAGGAGGAAAAGCUCUCCGAUUGCUCCUCCCUUUAAUUAAAAAAGCAUUUUUUGGUAUCAUAAUAUUUUUAAAUUUUAUUUAUUUAUUUGGUUAAUUUAGAAUACUUUCCCAUGGUUACAUGAUUCAGAUUCUUUCCCUCCUCUCCUCCUUCCCCCCUCCCUCUGGUAGCCAAUAAGCAAUUCCACUGGGUUUUACAUGUUUAAGACCUAAUUUAAAAG
RNAcentral lists this long non-coding RNA (767 nucleotides) under Monodelphis domestica (gray short-tailed opossum). Its description in RNAcentral is "lncRNA (ENSMODG00000044355.1)". The record is from RNAcentral. Lineage: Eukaryota; Metazoa; Chordata; Mammalia; Didelphimorphia; Didelphidae.